RNAcentral lists this transfer RNA (68 nucleotides) under Albula glossodonta (roundjaw bonefish). Its description in RNAcentral is "tRNA-Phe". It matches the Rfam family "tRNA". From Rfam's summary of the family: Transfer RNA (tRNA) molecules are approximately 80 nucleotides in length. Their secondary structure includes four short double-helical elements and three loops (D, anti-codon, and T loops). Further hydrogen bonds mediate the characteristic L-shaped molecular structure. tRNAs have two regions of fundamental functional importance: the anti-codon, which is responsible for specific mRNA codon recognition, and the 3' end, to which the tRNAs corresponding amino acid is attached (by aminoacyl-tRNA synthetases). tRNAs cope with the degeneracy of the genetic code in two manners: having more than one tRNA (with a specific anti-codon) for a particular amino acid; and 'wobble' base-pairing, i.e. permitting non-standard base-pairing at the 3rd anti-codon position. Lineage: Eukaryota; Metazoa; Chordata; Actinopteri; Albuliformes; Albulidae. The record is from RNAcentral.
GCUAUCGUAGCUUAAACAAAGCAUAGCACUGAAGAUGCUAAGAUGGGCUUUAACAAGCCUCGAGGGCA